ACACUAUUAGGUGGAUGGUUCGGCUCAACAACUGAAGAAGAAUGUGACAAGCUGCAGUAAGCUCUGGGUAGACGCACGUCGUUAUUGAUCCAGAGAUCUUCUAAUGUGACUUCACAAUAGAUCCGUAAGGAUCGGGAACACAGUGAAUUGAAACGUCUUAGUAACUGUAGGAAAAGAAAUCAAUAGAGAUACUGUGAGUAAGAGCGACUGAAAGCAGCAGAAGGCAAACUGAAUCCUUGGUAGCAAUAUUAAGGAGAUGUGGUGUAGUAGACUACAUUUUAAGUCCAAAAUUUCUAUCAAAACUUUUUUGGAAAAUUAGACCUUAGAGGGUGAUAGUCCCGUAUGAGAAAGAAAUUUUGGAUUGUUGUAGUAUCUCGAGUACUGCUCAUCGGAUAUUGAGCAGGAAUAUAGGAGUAUCAACUUCUAACUUUAAAUAUGAUGUUGAGUCCGAUAGCGCAUAGUACCGUGAGGGAACACUGAAAAGAACCCAUAACAGGGAUUGAAAAAAGCCUGAAACCUAAUAGUUAUAGUAAGGUAGGGUACUAAGGUAUUCUACCGUGCGUUUAGAAUAACGUGCCAGGGAGUUUUGGCGUGUGGUGAGGAUAAUUCUUUAAUAGAAGUAUUCGAAGCGAAAGCAAAUUCUCAGCAGUUUACGAGAGAGAAGGUAUGAAAAUGCCACGAAAUCACACGUCAUUGACCCGAAGCGGGUCGAUCUAAUCCGUAGUAAGGCGAAGUGAGGGUAAAACCUUGUGGAGGCCUGCAGAUGUGCUAUGUGCAAGUGCUUUUCUAACUGCGGAUUAGGGGUGAAAAGCCAAUCGAGAUCCGCGAUAGCUGGUUCCUGUCGAAGUUGGCCGCAGUCAAGCUCUAACCGAGAUAACAAGGGUGGUAGAGCUACGGAUUGAAAAUUUAGGUCUCGAAAGGGAUCGAUUUUCUGUCCAACUCCGAAUACUCUUGUAUCGUAGACGUUAGAAGACGUGGAUACGGGGUAAGCUUGUAUCCAGAGAAGGGAACAACCUAGACUAUAGUUAAGGUCCCAAAGUACCAACUAAGUGUUAACGGUUGAAGAGUGUUUAUACACAUAGACAGCGAGGAGGUUGGCUUAGAAGCAGCCAUCCUAUAAUAAGUGCGUAACAGCUUACUUGUCAAGUGUAUAAGCAUCGAAAAUGGACGGGGCUAAGUUGGUCACCGAUACUAUAGACUGUCGAAAGACAUGUGGUAGACAGGCGUACUGGUAGGGCAGAAACAUCCCUGAGAGGGGAUGCGGACCUGCAAAGUAAUGAAAAUCCUGGCGGUAGUAGGAACAAAGCAGAGUGAGAAUCUCUGUCACUGAAAGGGCAAGGGUUCCUUGACAAUGCAAAUCAGUCAAGGGUUAGUUGAUCCUAACGGAGUCCAUAACAUGGAACUCAGGAAAGGGAAACAGGUUAAUAUUCCUGUACUAUUAAAGUAUGCGUGGUAACACAAGUUAGAAUCUAGACAUUUGUGGCUAAGUUUACAUAAAUCAUCUUUUAUGCCAACUUUAUCAAAUCAAGCAAGUACUAUUACAGUGAGACCUUGAUUAAGAAAGGACGAGUAUGCCUUGUGCAUAUUUUACUGAUGCCAAAAGUCCGUGAAAAUAGAUUCUAAAAAAAUCUUUAAUAAUCAUACCCAGAACCAGCACUGGUGCCCCUAGGUGAGAAACCUAAAGUGUGAAGGAUAAAUCUAUUUAAGGGAAUUCGGCAAAAUGGCCCUGUGGCUUCGGUAUAAAGGGUCCCUAUGGUUGUGUAUGAAUUUAUGCAACUCGAGGGUUCAAAGGUCAGGGGGGUCCGACUGUUUAACAAAAACGUAGCUUUCUGCUAGACUGUAAAGUUGUGUACAGAAGGUGACGUCUGCUCAGUGCCCGUACUUGAACUUCCUAUACAAGGGAAUUAAGAGCGGGUAAACAGCGGGAGUAACUAUAACUCUCUUAAGGUAGCGUAAUACCUUGUCGUUUGAUUGACGACUCGCACGAAUGGCGUAACGAGAUCCCCACUGUCCCUAGAUAGAUUCCUCCGAACACUCUUUCCUGGUGCAAAGGCCAGGGAUUUCCAGUGGGACGUGAAGACCCCGUGAAACUUUACUGUAGCCUGUAGUUGCGAUGUGAGUUUUGUUGUGUAGCGUAGAUGGUAGUUUUACAGUCGCAAGACGAAUAAAACAAAAAUGAAACACCAUUCUUCAAAAUUUACGUUGCUUACUAAUUUAUUAGGACAUCUAUAGGUGGACAGUUUGGCUGGGGUGGCACCCUGCUGAAAAGAUAUCAGUAGGGCCCUAUGGUUAGCUCAACUCGGUCAGAAAUCGAGUGUAGAGUGCAAGGGCAAAAGCUAGCCUGAUUGGUCGCUUAAUAAUAUGGCAACCAAAAACGAAAGUUUGGCCUAGCGAACUCCUAUGCCUUCUUGAUGGGGGCUAGGAAUGACAAAAAAGUUACUCCGGGGAUAACAGAGUUGUCGCGCCCGAGAGCUCAAAUCGACGGCGCGGCUUGCUACAUCGCUGUCGGCUCUUCCUAUCCUGGC
RNAcentral lists this ribosomal RNA (2525 nucleotides) under groundwater metagenome. Its description in RNAcentral is "bacterial LSU rRNA". It matches the Rfam family "Archaeal large subunit ribosomal RNA", at positions 15 to 2620 of the family's 2987-position model. The record is from RNAcentral.